Molecule: ribosomal RNA, 253 nt
Filed under: uncultured bacterium
Lineage: Bacteria
Description: partial 16S ribosomal RNA
Rfam family: Bacterial small subunit ribosomal RNA
Source: RNAcentral
UACGUAGGGGGCAAGCGUUGUCCGUAAUCAUUGGGCGUAAAGAGCGUGUAGGCGGCUUGGUAAGUCCGCUGUGAAAGUCCAGGGCUCAACCCUGGAAUGCCGGUGGAAACUGUCAAGCUUGAGUCCGGAAGAGGCGAGUGGAAUUCCUGGUGUAGCGGUGAAAUGCGCAGAUAUCAGGAGGAACACCAAUGGCGAAGGCAGCUCGCUGGGACGGUACUGACGCUGAGACGCGAAAGCGUGGGGAGCAAACAGG